UACGGGGGGGGCAAGCGUUGUUCGGAAUUACUGGGCGUAAAGGGCUCGUAGGUGGCCAACUAAGUCAGACGUGAAAUCCCCAGGCUUAACCUGGGAACUGCGUCUGAUACUGGAUGGCUUGAAUUCGGGAGAGGGAUGCGGAAUUCCAGGUGUAGCGGUGAAAUGCGUAGAUAUCUGGAGGAACACCGGUGGCGAAGGCGGCAUCCUGGACCGAUACUGACACUGAGGAGCGAAAGCCAGGGGAGCAAACGGG
RNAcentral lists this ribosomal RNA (253 nucleotides) under uncultured bacterium. RNAcentral describes it as "partial 16S ribosomal RNA". It matches the Rfam family "Bacterial small subunit ribosomal RNA", at positions 524 to 776 of the family's 1533-position model. The record is from RNAcentral.